UACAGAGGGUGCAAGCGUUAAUCGGAAUUACUGGGCGUAAAGGGCGUGUAGGUGGUUGUUUAAGUUAGAUGUGAAAGCCCAGGGCUCAACCCUGGAACUGCAUCUAAAACUGGGCAACUAGAGUAUGGUAGAGGGAAGUGGAAUUUCUAGUGUAGCGGUGAAAUGCGUAGAUAUUAGAAAGAACACCAGUGGCGAAGGCGACUUCCUGGACCAAUACUGACACUGAGGCGCGAAAGCGUGGGGAGCAAAC
RNAcentral lists this ribosomal RNA (250 nucleotides) under uncultured bacterium. Its description in RNAcentral is "partial 16S ribosomal RNA". It matches the Rfam family "Bacterial small subunit ribosomal RNA", at positions 524 to 773 of the family's 1533-position model. The record is from RNAcentral.